RNAcentral lists this unclassified non-coding RNA (327 nucleotides) under soil metagenome. RNAcentral describes it as "partial contains 5.8S ribosomal RNA, internal transcribed spacer 2, and large subunit ribosomal RNA". The stretch from base 1 to 119 matches the Rfam family "5.8S ribosomal RNA", at positions 35 to 154 of the family's 154-position model. The record is from RNAcentral.
GAUGAAGAACGCAGCGAAAUGCGAUAAGUAAUGCGAAUUGCAGAAUCCGUGAGUCAUCGAAUCUUUGAACGCACAUUGCGCCCCUUGGUAUUCCGAGGGGCAUGCCUGUUCGAGCGUCAUUAUAACCCCUCAAGCUCAGCUUGGUGUUGGGGCCUGCUGCACUGGCAGCCCUUAAAAUCAGUGGCGGCGCCAUCUGGCUCUAAGCGUAGUAAUUCUUCUCGCUAUGGAGUCCUGGUGGAUGCUUGCCAUCAACCCCCAAUUUUUCUAUGGUUGACCUCGGAUCAGGUAGGGAUACCCGCUGAACUUAAGCAUAUCAUAAGCGGAGGA